GACGAACGCUGGCGGCGUGCUUAACACAUGCAAGUCGAACGGAAAGGCCUCUUUCGGGGGGUACUCGAGUGGCGAACGGGUGAGUAACACGUGAGUAACCUGCCCUUGACUUUGGGAUAACUUCAGGAAACUGGGGCUAAUACCGGAUAGGAGCUCCUGCUGCAUGGUGGGGGUUGGAAAGUUUCGGCGGUUGGGGAUGGACUCGCGGCUUAUCAGCUUGUUGGUGGGGUAGUGGCUUACCAAGGCUUUGACGGGUAGCCGGCCUGAGAGGGUGACCGGCCACAUUGAGACUGAGAUACGGCCCAGACUCCGACGGGUGGCAGCAGUGGGGAAUCUUGCACAAGGAGUGGAAGCCUGAUGCUGCAACGCCGUGUGCGGGAUGACGGUCUUCGGGUUGUAGACCGCUUUCGCUCAUGACGAAGCUUUUUGUGACGGUAGUGGGUAAAGAAGCACCGGCUAACUACGUG
Molecule: ribosomal RNA, 467 nt
Filed under: uncultured bacterium
Lineage: Bacteria
Description: partial 16S ribosomal RNA
Rfam family: Bacterial small subunit ribosomal RNA
Source: RNAcentral